Molecule: ribosomal RNA, 301 nt
Filed under: uncultured bacterium
Lineage: Bacteria
Description: partial 16S ribosomal RNA
Rfam family: Bacterial small subunit ribosomal RNA
Source: RNAcentral
CAGUAGCCGCGGUAAUACGAGGGGCGCAAGCGUUAUUCGGAUUGAUUGGGUGUAAAGGGUGUGCAGACGGCUUAUUAAGUCACUUGUUAAAUUCUUCGGCCUAACUGAAGGUCUGCAAGUGAUACUGAUGAGCUAGAGGGUGGAAGAGAGAAGUGGAAUUCCCGGAGUAGCGGUAAAAUGCGUAGAUCUCGAGAGGAACACCAAUGGCGAAGGCAGCUUCUUGGUCCAUUCCUGACGUUCAUACACGAAAGCGUGGGGAGCAAACCGGAUUAGAUACCAGUAGUCCCUGUCUCUUAUACAC